GCCUAGUAGUAUGGGAUAGCCACUAGAAAUGGUGGGUAAUACUGUAUAAUCCCUGCGGGGGAAAGAUUUAUCGCUACUGGAUGAGCCUAUGUUAGAUUAGCUAGUUGGUGGGGUAAUGGCCUACCAAGGCUGUGAUCUAUAGCUGGUCUGAGAGGAUGAUCAGCCACACUGGAACUGAGACACGGUCCAGACUCCUACGGGAGGCAGCAGUGGGGAAUAUUGGACAAUGGGCGCAAGCCUGAUCCAGCUAUGCCGCGUGAGUGAGGAAGGCCUUAGGGUUGUAAAACUCUUUCAGCAGGGAAGAUAAUGACGGUACCUGCAGAAGAAGUCCCGGCAAACUCCGUGCCAGCAGCCGCGGUAAUACGGAGGGGGCAAGCGUUGUUCGGAAUUAUUGGGCGUAAAGGGCAUGUAGGCGGUUUGGUAAGUUAAAGGUGAAAUGCCAGGGCUUAACCCUGGAGCUGC
Molecule: ribosomal RNA, 462 nt
Filed under: Candidatus Anaplasma amazonensis
Lineage: Bacteria; Pseudomonadati; Pseudomonadota; Alphaproteobacteria; Rickettsiales; Anaplasmataceae
Also listed under: 1 other name
Description: partial 16S ribosomal RNA
Rfam family: Bacterial small subunit ribosomal RNA
Source: RNAcentral